AGCCGUGUUAUGUGUUCAAAGCGAAUUAUUCUUUCGCCUUUUACUAAAGAAUACCGUGAGUACGUAACUUAAAGCGGCUUACCCAUAUUUUUGGAGGGUUUUCUAUUGAGACAACC
Non-coding RNA from Cephalotus follicularis, 116 nucleotides. The record is from Rfam. Lineage: Eukaryota; Viridiplantae; Streptophyta; Magnoliopsida; Oxalidales; Cephalotaceae.